GAGUUUAAUCCUGGCUCAGGAUGAACGCUGGCGGCGUGCUUAACACAUGCAAGUCGAACGAGGAAUUUUAAAUGAGACUUCGGUGGAUUUUAAAAUUCUUAGUGGCGGACGGGUGAGUAACGCGUGGGCAACCUGCCCUGUACAGGGGGGACAACAGCUGGAAACGGCUGCUAAUACCGCAUAAGACCACGGAGCCGCAUGGCUCAGUGGGAAAAACUCCAGUGGUACAGGAUGGGCCCGCGUUGGAUUAGGUAGUUGGUGAGGUAACGGCCCACCAAGCCGACGAUCCAUAGCCGACCUGAGAGGGUGACCGGCCACGUUGGGACUGAGACACGGCCCAAACUCCUACGGGAGGCAGCAGUGGGGAAUCUUCCGCAAUGGGCGAAAGCCUGACGGAGCAACGCCGCGUGAGUGAAGAAUUAUUUCGGUAUGUAAAGCUCUAUCAGCAGGGAAGAAAAUGACGGUACCUGACUAAGAAGCCCCGGCUAACUACGUGCCAGCAGCCGCGGU
RNAcentral lists this ribosomal RNA (510 nucleotides) under uncultured microorganism. Its description in RNAcentral is "bacterial SSU rRNA". It matches the Rfam family "Bacterial small subunit ribosomal RNA", at positions 9 to 521 of the family's 1533-position model. The record is from RNAcentral.